Long non-coding RNA from Anthonomus grandis grandis, 807 nucleotides. RefSeq lists it as uncharacterized. The record is from RefSeq and is a predicted model, not a curated record. Lineage: Eukaryota; Metazoa; Arthropoda; Insecta; Coleoptera; Curculionidae. The transcript has 4 exons.
AUGUCUAAUCGAAAUAUUUGUUCAGUGGUUGGUUGUGAAAGUCGAAUGACAGAUCAGAUAUCGUUUUUUAGGUGCCAUAAAGAUGAUGGAAGAUGUCAAGCUUGGAAAAAUGUCUUAGGAUUCAUAGGAUCCCAUAGAUACGCGGAUAAUACUCCAACACAAUGUUAUAACCGUAUUAGAAUUUGUAGUGUGCAUUUUAAUGAUGACAGUUUUACAAAUUUCUCGAAAACCCGAAUUCAUUCGUAUGCUAUCCCACCGAUUGGAGUACCUACCCAAAAAGACGAUGCACAUUUUCCUAAAGCCACUGUUGAUGCCAUUGUUCAGACAGAAACCUUCGAAGUAAAUCAGCCAAAGCAGCCGUUACUAAAAGCCUGCUAAGUUGAAAUAUUCAAACUUUAAAAGACUCCAUAUAAAAAACUAACAUCAAUAGUGUGUAUGGAGGAUGAUGAGGUCGACGUAGAGAGAAAAACAUCAGUCCUUACCGACGCCAACGUUGCCAUACUACGUACAGAGCAAAGGCCAACAAAAAUACACAUACAGUCAAAAGUUGACACCGCCAGUGCCCAUAACCUCAAAAAGGGAAAAUAAAAAUAAAUAGCCCAGUUACGCAAUAUGAUCCAAAAUAUCCAACAAUUGGGGUCAGUGCAAGACAUUAAUGAAAAACCUUGGGAGACAUAUCGAACAAGAUGCAUGGUUUCUGGCAGUGGCGGCUCGUCAGGGGAGGAAAGGGAGGCUUAGCCUCCCCAUCAAAUUGUAAUGAAAUAAUAAAAAUAUUUAACAAAAAUAAAAAAAUAAAAUAUUUUUUUU